This 5032-nucleotide long non-coding RNA is filed under the name Lactuca sativa (garden lettuce). RNAcentral's name for it is "long non-coding RNA (LSAT_LNC003828)". The record is from RNAcentral. Lineage: Eukaryota; Viridiplantae; Streptophyta; Magnoliopsida; Asterales; Asteraceae.
ACUCUUACCCCACCCUGUCAGUCCUCACAACGAGACUAUCCAUACUCACGGACCUUAAAUUUUACCUCUUACUCCAGAUCUAAUCCAUGCUCUCGAAUCCUUGAUUGUACCUAUUCCAUACUCUCGGAUGAGGGACAAUUAGUCUGUGUCUAAAUCCAUACUCCCAGAUUAAUGACAGAUGACUAUGUCCUGUCCAUACUCCCGGACUAAGGACAACUGACUAUGUCUUAAUCCAUACUCCCAGAUUAAGGACAACUGACUAUGCCUUAAUCCAUACUCCCGGAUUAACGAUAGUUGACUGAGUCCAAUCCAUACUCUCAGACUAGGGACAAAUGACUAUGUGUAAUCCGUGCAUCUGGAUCAAUGACAUGUUUAAGGGUUCUAUUCCCCGUAUAUAUCUCACUUGUACUUAUAAGGAGAUACUACCCAAUGACCAUCAUAACAAAUUUUAGGUUUACUCAUUAACCUAAAUCAUUAUAAAUAAUCGGGUAUGUUCUUUAACAUGUAAUUCAGACAACAUCAAAUAAUUCGCACAUAAACAUAUAUUUAAUACGUUCAAUCAAUACUUGUAUUAAAAUCUUGUUCAUGAAAGGGACUAUGCACUCACUUGAUUAGGUGGUGACUCGGUACUCGGACAGCACUUCGUUACUCUUAAAAUAAUUUUCUUCGACAAAACCUAGUAUCAAUAUCACUAGGGUUUAGUCUAACUUUAACCGCGACUAAUUAAUAGUCUAGCUAUUAUUACUAUUAUAUAAGCAUUAAACAAUACUUAUAUAGCCCAUAAUAAUAGCACAAGUAUUUAUUAUAAGUUUCUAAUAACGUUACUAUAAUUAAAUAAAGGUAUAUUAAAAAUAGCGUAGGCGUAGCUCACUUACAGCGGGUUUUCCUCAAAAUCGAGCGCCGCUGGAGCAGCGUUCCCGAGCCGAAAGGCUCUUCUUCUCAAAGCCGCUGGGCACUCCGGGGCUUCCGUCUCAUGCUAGGGAGGUUCCCUAGGCUUUUCGGGGGGGGGGGGUUUGGGGGCUAGAGAGAAGUUCUAGAAAAAGAGGGAAGUGAGGGGAGGUGUGAGGAAUAAAUGGAGGCCUCACCACUUAUUUAUAGGGGCUGGAGGAAGGUUCCCUUCGUGAAUUUUUAAUAUUCACGUCGUGAGCCAGGCUGGCUACAGCCAGACGCAGCCUGGUGCUGACACGUGGCAUCGCACACAGGGUGGAAAUCAGCCGAUUUUCAAAAAUUCAUAACUGUUGCAUACGAACUCCGUUUUCAACAUUCUUUAUAUCCAUGUGUAGCUAAAAACAAGAUCUACAACUUCCAUUUAGACUCCGUCGGCUAAUUCUCGACCGAUCUUAAAUUUAAAAGUAGGAGGAGUUUAGACUUCUAAAUGACCGCGGAGAAUUCGUAACUCCUUCAUAUGAAAUCCGUUUCCGUCUAUAUGUUGACUGUUGAGUUCCUAUUAAUGAGAUCUUCAGCUCUCAUUUAAGUUUCGUAAGCCAAAAACCACUCGAACUAAAAUUCGAGUUUCGGGUCGUGCACUGCUAAGCCGAAUCUUAGAAAAAUCAUAACUUCUUCAUACGAAGUCAGAUUUGGGUGUUCUUUUUUUGUAUGUUCUCAGUUUAACGUAUACUACAACUUUUGUUUAGAUCACUAAGGCUAAAAAGUCCUAUAUCGUAAAUUCACUAUUUAAGUCUUCCGGUGUCGUGCCGGUUUUGCUGUAAAACUUCGACGAGCCAUAACUUCUUUGUUAUAACUCGGAUUUCGGCGUUCUUUAUAUGUACGGAACCCUUGAGACAUAUUCUACAACUAAGUUAAAAUUAUUUAUUCUAAAUAAUCUUUUGUCAAAAAGUCGUUUUCGACCCCUAUUGUCUUUAAAUUGACUAGCCCGGAUCUACGGGCGUUACAAUUAUCUCCCCCUUAGGAUGAUUACAUCCCAGAAUCAUCAAUGAAACAGGGUUGUAUAAUGACUUCAUACAUUAUCCUUUCAUCCUAGGUAAUAGCUAUAACUCAUAUGUUCCUUUGAAUUAACCCCUCUAACUACAGGCGGUGCUCGAUCUUGCACCUACUCCCUAUUUUACAUUAGACUCCAAUAUAUGACCUUCAAGUCACAAUCUCGAUCCUUACUAGAGACUUUGUCUUCUUCUUAAAGAACUAUUUGAUUUCCAAAAUAGACCGAUGGGUCAUAUUCUAAUGACCUCUCAUCGUAUGUUGCAAUGCUUAGACUCUGGUCUCUUAGAGUCAAUCUUCCAUCUUACGUCAGAUGCUACAUCGAAAUUUGCUCUCUGAACGACAUAACAUACUCAUCGUAGUCGGACCCAAUUUGAUAUGACCACUAGUAUCGGAAUAACAAUCAUCUUCUUAGUCUUUACCGAAACAAUGGUAACGACAUACUUGAAUAAAGCGAAUUCAAUUACUAGCUCAUUGGUAACCUUGUGACUUUCCCUGAUCCAAGUGUGAGUCAUGUGCUUCCGGUAGUAUAUGCCUCUACUACCAUUCACACCUACUCAUACUCGUCCCAAGUAUUGUCCCACAGUUUUUCAAGUCACCAUACAAGAAAUUCACAUAACAACUUAACACAUCAAAUAUGAAAACGAAGGUUUUAUAUUAUUCCUUGAAAUGAUACAUAGGUGUUCAAGCUCACCCUAGACUAUGCCUCUAACAGGCUACAUCACGUGGUACUAUCUACACAACUACUGCAUAACUCGUUCUCUUGAUGUCAAGCCUUCACUCCUUAAUCCUUGCAUUGUCAUCUUCUUCGUCAAGAAUCAUUUGAAAUGCUCUCGCCUUUGGCUUUGGCGGCACAUUUGGCUUCGUAUCCCCUUCCCUCUUUGGGCAAUCUUGUUUGAAGUGUCCCACUUCACCACACAUAAAGCAGACUUCUCUCUUUGUUGUGCAUUCGCUGGCAUAAUGACCAGUCUUCCCGCAUUUAAAGCAGGUCAUCUCUUUAGAGCAUUUCCCGAUGUGCUUCUUUCUUCACUUGUCACACCAUUGAGUUCCUUCUUCGAACUUCUUUGUACCAGACUUCGAAAAAUUUCCCUUCUCGUUGGACCUUGAAGAUCCUUCAAACUUUCUCUUCUCGCCAACCUCCAUCUUACUGGCGACUCUUCCCUUGAUCAUAUCUUCAACAGACUUGGCAGCCCAGAUAGCUACCUCUAGAGUAGGUGUUUGGCGUACUGGCACCGCAUACUCCCAAGGAAGUCCCUUUGCGUACUUGUCAACUUUUGUCAGCUCGUCUGGGACAAGGCGCAAAGCAAACUCCAUUUUGUCCGUGAAGCUGUUGGUGUAUUCAUUGAUGGACAUGCUUUCUUUCUUCAAAGUUAGGAAUUGGUUCUCUAGCUUGAGCAGGUUUUGGGCUGAGCAGUACUUAUGUUUGAAUUGCACCAAAAACUCUGCCCAUGUUAGUUGCAGGGGCUCAUGGGGGCUUAAAGUCUUCCCCAGGGUGUUCUACCAGCGAACAGCGCAUCCUGUGAAUUGGCGUACUACAAACAUGGUUUGUAGCUUGCCCUUGCAACCACAUGUCAUGAAGGCUAAUUCCAUUUCUGAGAUCCAAUCCAUGACUCCGAUCGGAUCUUCCUUCCCAGUGAAAGUCGAUGGCUUGCAAGUUAGAAAAUCUUUGUACUUGCAUCCAUUCCUCUCGAGUCCUAUAUCUUGAUUGUUCUUCCUAAUCACCGGUGGAUCAGCUUGACCAACGGUCCUACUGUCGUUCCCUUCCUCAGACUGCCCAUCAUUCAGCUUGGACUGUUCAAUAGGCAUCAUAAGUUCCUCUCGAGUUUGUUGAAGUAAAUGCCUUAUAUCGUCCAUUUGACGAUCCAACAUCAUCUGGAUCAACGCUUGAACUCCGACCAUCGUGAUUGGCUCAGGAGUGGCUACUACGACAUGUAUUGGCUCAAUCACUGGGGGUUGAUCUCGGUUUCCAUUUGCAUUCACGUUUCCAUUACGGGUCCUUGCCAUCCUGAUCUAUGCACCGAAUAAGGUGAAUCUAGAUCUUUAUUUAGGAUUGAUGUUUAAAUCAUCCUUAUCACUCCAAAACCUUUAUAUGCUAGUUCUAAUAUCGUAGUUAAACGCUUAGAAUCCUAAACACAUAAGGUUUCCAGAUCCGGUCGGCAUUAGACCAUAGAUCCGAACAAAUAACAGCAUAUCAGGCACAAACAUUUAGCACAUAAAAGCAUUUUGGGCAUAAUUCCUAAAAUAAGCUAGUGCUUACACCUCAAAAUCAUCGCUUAGCAUUCUAAGUUUAAGUCUAUAAAUAAAUCCAUAUUCCUAGUUCGCUUAAACUAAUGCUCUAAUACCAACUGUGACAUCCCUAUUUUCACGGCCAGAAAAGACCGAUUUUGUUUAUGCUUUAUAAAAAUCAGAGUACCUCUUUUAAUGAAAAUGUUGCGGAAUUUGUUCCCAAUAAAACAUGAUAAAUAUGUUAUCAAAGCAUUUCCGAAGAAAAGUAUUUUUAUUCAUUUUAAAACAUUUGGGAUGUCAUCGUCAAUACAGAAACAUAAGCAUAAACAGAACUUAAAUUCAUUAUCACUAGUGAUCUACAUCUCUUUUAAAUCUCUCAGUGUAAUGUGAGUUCAUAUCAACACCUGUGAUAUAAAUAAACUGAGUGGGUAAGGUUGGGAAACCUGGUGAGUACAUAGGGAUUUCAAUCCCACAAUGUUAUACAUAUAUAUAUAUAUAUAUNNNNNNNNNNNNNNNNNNNNNNNNNNNNNNNNNNNNNNNNNNNNNNNNNNNNNNNNNNNNNNNNNNNNNNNNNNNNNNNNNNNNNNNNNNNNNNNNNAACAAUAUAUAUAUAUAUAUAUAUUCACACAAUAUAUGAUUUCCCCAUAUAUAUAAUCAACUCUUACCCCACCCCGUCAGUCCUCACAACGAGACUAUCCAUACUCACGGACCUUAAAUUUUACCUCUUACUCUGGAUCUAAUCCAUGCUCUCGAGUCCUUGAUUGUACCUAUUCCAUACACUCAGAUGAGGGACAAUUGGUCUGUGUCUAAAUCCAUACUCCCGGAUUAAUGACAGAUGACUAUGUCCUGUCCAUACUCCCAGGCUAAGGAC